AUUGAACGCUGGCGGCAUGCUUUACACAUGCAAGUCGAACGGCAGCGCGGGCUUCGGCCUGGGGCGAGUGGCGAACGGGUGAGUAAUGCAUCGGAACGUGCCCAGUAGUGGGGGAUAGCCCGGCGAAAGCCGGAUUAAUACCGCAUACGACCUGAGGGUGAAAGCGGGGGACCGAAAGGCCUCGCGCUAUUGGAGCGGCCGAUGUCGGAUUAGCUAGUUGGUGGGGUAAAGGCUUACCAAGGCGACGAUCCGUAGCUGGUCUGAGAGGACGACCAGCCACACUGGGACUGAGACACGGCCCAGACUCCUACGGGAGGCAGCAGUGGGGAAUUUUGGACAAUGGGGGCAACCCUGAUCCAGCCAUGCCGCGUGCGGGAAGAAGGCCUUCGGGUUGUAAACCGCUUUUGUUCGGGAAGAAAUCCUCUGGGCUAAUACCCCGGGGGGAUGACGGUACCGGAAGAAUAAGCACCGGCUAACUACGUG
Molecule: ribosomal RNA, 483 nt
Filed under: uncultured bacterium
Lineage: Bacteria
Description: partial 16S ribosomal RNA
Rfam family: Bacterial small subunit ribosomal RNA
Source: RNAcentral